CCUACGGGUGGCUGCAGUGGGGAAUAUUGCACAAUGGGGGAAACCCUGAUGCAGCGACGCCGCGUGAGCGAUGAAGGAUUUCGGGAUGGAAAACUCUAUCAGCAGGGAAGAAAAUGACGGUACCUGCCUACGAAGCCCCGGCUAACUACGUGCCAGCAGCCGCGGUCAUACGGAGGGGGCAAGCGUUAUCCGGAUUUACUGGGUGUAAAGGGAGCGUAGACGGUCCUGCAAGCCAGAUGUGAAAGCCCGGGGCUCAACCCCGGGACUGCAUUUGGAACUGUAAGGCUAGAGUGUCGGAGAGGCAGGCGGAAUGCCUGGUGUAGCGGUGAAAUGCGUAGAUAUUAGGAGGAACACCAGUGGCGAAGGCAGCCUGCUGGACGAUGACUGACGUUGAGGCUCGAAAGCGUGGGGAGCAAACAGGAUUAGAUACCCCUGUAGUC
Molecule: ribosomal RNA, 440 nt
Filed under: uncultured bacterium
Lineage: Bacteria
Description: partial 16S ribosomal RNA
Rfam family: Bacterial small subunit ribosomal RNA
Source: RNAcentral